AUUGUGGGAUCAUCAUUCUAAAUGAUGUGGGAUGUGUUGUCAUUUUCAAUAACAAACCCAUACUUGAAUGGUGCAUUACGUACUCUACUUGAUCUUCGAAGAAGAGGUGUGUGUAGUGACUGUGUUUCAACAAUGGGCACAUUUGAUUGAGAACUAUUUUGUGAAUCCUAGAUAGGUUGUAGGUUUUAAACUUUUUCAAGUUCGACAGACCUCCUACUGCCUCCUUAGAUAAAUUCUUUUUCUAAGAAUACAGCA
This 255-nucleotide long non-coding RNA is filed under the name Elaeis guineensis (African oil palm). RNAcentral describes it as "long non-coding RNA (EGUI_LNC078430)". Lineage: Eukaryota; Viridiplantae; Streptophyta; Magnoliopsida; Arecales; Arecaceae. The record is from RNAcentral.